GCCCAGCUGGCUCAGUCAGUAGAGCAUGAGACUCUUGGUCUCAGUGUUGUGAGUUCAAGUCCCACACGGGGCC
This 73-nucleotide transfer RNA is filed under the name Canis lupus familiaris (dog). It matches the Rfam family "tRNA". From Rfam's summary of the family: Transfer RNA (tRNA) molecules are approximately 80 nucleotides in length. Lineage: Eukaryota; Metazoa; Chordata; Mammalia; Carnivora; Canidae. RNAcentral also lists the same sequence under 1 other name. The record is from Rfam by way of RNAcentral.